UGAUAUCAAAUCAAUUCCAGAAGUUAGUACUUCUAUGCAGCCAUUUAGGAGAAAGAGAUCAGCUGCUGGUACACUGGUUGUGUGUCCAGCAAGUAUUCUUCAGCAAUGGGCAAGGGACUUGGAUGAUAAAGUUGCGGAUGAAGCUAAGCUUACUUUCCUUGUUUAUCAUGGAGGCAGUCGGACAAGGGAUCCUGUUGAAUUGGCAAACUAUGAUGUUGUUCUGACCACACAUUCUAUUGCUGCUAAUGAAGUUCCAAAGCGACCUCUAGUUGAUGAGGAUGAGGCUGAUGAAAAGGAUGGGGAGCAGUAUGGGUUAUCUUCUGAAUUUUUAAUUAAUAAGAAGAGGUGGAAGAUGACUAAUGUUAGUAAGAAGAGAAAGAAGGGUAGGAAGGGAAUA
RNAcentral lists this unclassified non-coding RNA (397 nucleotides) under Hevea brasiliensis (rubber tree). The record is from RNAcentral. Lineage: Eukaryota; Viridiplantae; Streptophyta; Magnoliopsida; Malpighiales; Euphorbiaceae.